This 450-nucleotide ribosomal RNA is filed under the name uncultured bacterium. RNAcentral's name for it is "partial 16S ribosomal RNA". It matches the Rfam family "Bacterial small subunit ribosomal RNA", at positions 354 to 796 of the family's 1533-position model. The record is from RNAcentral.
GUGGGGAAUAUUGGACAAUGGGCGAAAGCCUGAUCCAGCCAUGCCGCGUGUGUGAAGAAGGUCUUCGGAUUGUAAAGCACUUUAAGUUGGGAGGAAGGGCAGUAAGUUAAUACCUUGCUGUUUUGACGUUACCGACAGAAUAAGCACCGGCUAACUUCGUGCCAGCAGCCGCGGUAAUACGAAGGGUGCAAGCGUUAAUCGGAAUUACUGGGCGUAAAGCGCGCGUAGGUGGUUUUGUAAGUUGGAGGUGAAAUCCCCGGGCUCAACCUGGGAACUGCCUCCAAAACAGCAUGACUAGAGUACGGUAGAGGGUAGUGGAAUUUCCUGUGUAGCGGUGAAAUGCGUAGAUAUAGGAAGGAACACCAGUGGCGAAGGCGACUACCUGGACUGAUACUGACACUGAGGUGCGAAAGCGUGGGGAGCAAACAGGAUUAGAAACCCUGGUAGUCC